RNAcentral lists this ribosomal RNA (406 nucleotides) under uncultured bacterium. Its description in RNAcentral is "partial 16S ribosomal RNA". It matches the Rfam family "Bacterial small subunit ribosomal RNA", at positions 30 to 526 of the family's 1533-position model. The record is from RNAcentral.
AUUGAACGCUGGCGGCAGGCCUAACACAUGCAAGUCGAACGAGUGGCGGACGGGUGAGUAAUGUCUGGGAAACUGCCCGAUGGAGGGGGAUAACUACUGGAAACGGUAGCUAAUAUCGCAUACCAUCGGAUGUGCCGAGAUGGGCUUAGCUAGUAGGUGGGGUAACGGCGCACCUAGGCGACGAUCCCUAGCUGGGCUGAGGGUAUGACCAGCCACACUGGAACUGAGACACGUCCACGAAUCCGACGGGAGGCAGCAGUGGGGAAUAUUGCACAAUGGGUGCAAGCCUGAUGCAGCCAUGCCGCGUGUAUGAAGAAGGCCUUCGGGUUGUAAAGUACUUUCAGCGAUGAGGCGUUACUCGCAGAAGAAGCACCGGCUAACUCCGUGCCAGCAGCCGCGGUAAUAC